Apis mellifera (honey bee) is the source of this 1380-nucleotide long non-coding RNA. RefSeq lists it as uncharacterized. NCBI's taxonomy places the organism in Eukaryota, Metazoa, Arthropoda, Insecta, Hymenoptera, Apidae. The transcript has 3 exons. The record is from RefSeq and is a predicted model, not a curated record.
CAAAACGAAAACGACAUUUUAUUACCCGUUAUUGGAUUUUUCGGUAAAAAAAAGUUUUAUAAAACAAACAUCGUGUACACAUUGUGUUUUUAUUAAAUAUUUGUGUUACCUCAGUGACAAGAUAUUAAUUAAUAUUAAAGAAAAAAUUAUUUUUAAUUCUGCAUAAAAAACAUGAGUAAAAAAGUAGGAAUAACAAAGUUAAUUCAAUAUUUUUUUUGAAUUAAUUAUAAUUGUAUCAAGAUUGUAUCGAUAAAAUGUAGUAAAAUUCGUUGUUAUUGACUGUAUGUACAUAUACAUAAGGUUAGAUCGAACGUGCGAUCUAACCUAUUUAUCGCUUAUUGAAGGUUAUUCCAGAAAUGGGACGUUUCAUGGUGGAUAAUAAACUCAUGGAGAGAGAAAAAUUGGUGUGGGAUAUUUGAUAAAGGUUAAUGGCACCAUCAAAAAGAGGGUGUCAAAAGGACGAAGACCCUUCGAUCGGAUAUUGUAGAAUAAACAGGCGUGGUUGAAAGUAACUUCCAUAACCUCGAUUUAUCAUGAAAUCAAGACAAAAAAGACAAUCAAAAGAUUGAGAAAACACAGAAUUGAAUAUUAAUCCAUUGAAUAAAAAAAAGAAUAACAUUUAUUCGUAAUUAUUCGAUUAUAAUCGAUCCGAUUUUUACAUAACCUAUUUGGCAUUACAAUUAUUUUCGAUUAUUAUAUUUUGAAUAAAUUAUUGAAUGUUAUUUAUAGAAGUAAUUUCAAUUGUUAAAUUUUGCCCUUCAUUGGUAGAAAAAUCUCUUUCCAAAAUUUUAAUACGUAAAUCGAUUCGAGGAAUUCAACGUAAAAGAUUGACGUUUAACUUUAUCUAAUAAGUGUGAGUGAAAGUCAUGGCCAGCAUCGAGCGAAAGGGAAAAUCGUUGGAAAAAAUAGAUUUGGUGACAUCAUAUUUGAGGAUUUUUGGAAUUGGAAGAAGAGAGAAGGACGAAAUAGGAUGACACAGUAUUUAUGGUGUAAGUGACGUAGCUAUGCUCGAUCUGACGUGACGCAUGUUUGAGAUUAUAUGGAUAGGUGAAAGGACUGUGAAAUAUUUGUAGGAAUCUUUGGCUUUUCACAUUUUUCAAGAAACCAUUGUAUCAUCAUUGAGACCAACUUACAUCUGUCGAGGAAUUAUUAAAAGGUUAGCUUUACACAUGAGAAUUGGAAAUAGUAUUCCAAAGAAACAGAUAUUAAGAAAAAAAUGCUUAUUAAAAAAAGAAAUUAUGGAUAUUUGCAUAAGAUAUCCUCGACAAUCCUAUCCUACAAAUUAUCCUAUAAAUAUGGGCCUAAACAAUGAUAAUUUGAUAAAAUGAAAAAACAUUAUAAAAAGAUACUGUAUCAUUCAAAUAUUGAAAGGAAUAAAAA